AGCGUACACGGUGGAUGCCCUGGCAGUCAGAGGCGAUGAAGGACGUGCUAAUCUGCGAUAAGCGUCGGUAAGGUGAUAUGAACCGUUAUAACCGGCGAUUUCCGAAUGGGGAAACCCAGUGUGAUUCGUCACACUAUCAUUAACUGAAUCCAUAGGUUAAUGAGGCGAACCGGGGGAACUGAAACAUCUAAGUACCCCGAGGAAAAGAAAUCAACCGAGAUUCCCCCAGUAGCGGCGAGCGAACGGGGAGCAGCCCAGAGCCUGAAUCAGUGUGUGUGUUAGUGGAAGCGUCUGGAAAGGCGCGCGAUACAGGGUGACAGCCCCGUACACAAAAAUGCACAUGCUGUGAGCUCGAUGAGUAGGGCGGGACACGUGGUAUCCUGUCUGAAUAUGGGGGGACCAUCCUCCAAGGCUAAAUACUCCUGACUGACCGAUAGUGAACCAGUACCGUGAGGGAAAGGCGAAAAGAACCCCGGCGAGGGGAGUGAAAAAGAACCUGAAACCGUGUACGUACAAGCAGUGGGAGCACGCUUAGGCGUGUGACUGCGUACCUUUUGUAUAAUGGGUCAGCGACUUAUAUUCUGUAGCAAGGUUAACCGAAUAGGGGAGCCGAAGGGAAACCGAGUCUUAACUGGGCGUUAAGUUGCAGGGUAUAGACCCGAAACCCGGUGAUCUAGCCAUGGGCAGGUUGAAGGUUGGGUAACACUAACUGGAGGACCGAACCGACUAAUGUUGAAAAAUUAGCGGAUGACUUGUGGCUGGGGGUGAAAGGCCAAUCAAACCGGGAGAUAGCUGGUUCUCCCCGAAAGCUAUUUAGGUAGCGCCUCGUGAAUUCAUCUCCGGGGGUAGAGCACUGUUUCGGCAAGGGGGUCAUCCCGACUUACCAACCCGAUGCAAACUGCGAAUACCGGAGAAUGUUAUCACGGGAGACACACGGCGGGUGCUAACGUCCGUCGUGAAGAGGGAAACAACCCAGACCGCCAGCUAAGGUCCCAAAGUCAUGGUUAAGUGGGAAACGAUGUGGGAAGGCCCAGACAGCCAGGAUGUUGGCUUAGAAGCAGCCAUCAUUUAAAGAAAGCGUAAUAGCUCACUGGUCGAGUCGGCCUGCGCGGAAGAUGUAACGGGGCUAAACCAUGCACCGAAGCUGCGGCAGCGACGCUUAUGCGUUGUUGGGUAGGGGAGCGUUCUGUAAGCCUGCGAAGGUGUGCUGUGAGGCAUGCUGGAGGUAUCAGAAGUGCGAAUGCUGACAUAAGUAACGAUAAAGCGGGUGAAAAGCCCGCUCGCCGGAAGACCAAGGGUUCCUGUCCAACGUUAAUCGGGGCAGGGUGAGUCGACCCCUAAGGCGAGGCCGAAAGGCGUAGUCGAUGGGAAACAGGUUAAUAUUCCUGUACUUGGUGUUACUGCGAAGGGGGGACGGAGAAGGCUAUGUUGGCCGGGCGACGGUUGUCCCGGUUUAAGCGUGUAGGCUGGUUUUCCAGGCAAAUCCGGAAAACUAAGGCUGAGGCGUGAUGACGAGGCACUACGGUGCUGAAGCAACAAAUGCCCUGCUUCCAGGAAAAGCCUCUAAGCAUCAGGUAACAUCAAAUCGUACCCCAAACCGACACAGGUGGUCAGGUAGAGAAUACCAAGGCGCUUGAGAGAACUCGGGUGAAGGAACUAGGCAAAAUGGUGCCGUAACUUCGGGAGAAGGCACGCUGAUAUGUAGGUGAAGUCCCUCGCGGAUGGAGCUGAAAUCAGUCGAAGAUACCAGCUGGCUGCAACUGUUUAUUAAAAACACAGCACUGUGCAAACACGAAAGUGGACGUAUACGGUGUGACGCCUGCCCGGUGCCGGAAGGUUAAUUGAUGGGGUCAGCGCAAGCGAAGCUCUUGAUCGAAGCCCCGGUAAACGGCGGCCGUAACUAUAACGGUCCUAAGGUAGCGAAAUUCCUUGUCGGGUAAGUUCCGACCUGCACGAAUGGCGUAAUGAUGGCCAGGCUGUCUCCACCCGAGACUCAGUGAAAUUGAACUCGCUGUGAAGAUGCAGUGUACCCGCGGCAAGACGGAAAGACCCCGUGAACCUUUACUAUAGCUUGACACUGAACAUUGAGCCUUGAUGUGUAGGAUAGGUGGGAGGCUUUGAAGUGUGGACGCCAGUCUGCAUGGAGCCGACCUUGAAAUACCACCCUUUAAUGUUUGAUGUUCUAACGUGGACCCGUAAUCCGGGUUGCGGACAGUGUCUGGUGGGUAGUUUGACUGGGGCGGUCUCCUCCUAAAGAGUAACGGAGGAGCACGAAGGUUGGCUAAUCCUGGUCGGACAUCAGGAGGUUAGUGCAAUGGCAUAAGCCAGCUUGACUGCGAGCGUGACGGCGCGAGCAGGUGCGAAAGCAGGUCAUAGUGAUCCGGUGGUUCUGAAUGGAAGGGCCAUCGCUCAACGGAUAAAAGGUACUCCGGGGAUAACAGGCUGAUACCGCCCAAGAGUUCAUAUCGACGGCGGUGUUUGGCACCUCGAUGUCGGCUCAUCACAUCCUGGGGCUGAAGUAGGUCCCAAGGGUAUGGCUGUUCGCCAUUUAAAGUGGUACGCGAGCUGGGUUUAGAACGUCGUGAGACAGUUCGGUCCCUAUCUGCCGUGGGCGCUGGAGAACUGAGGGGGGCUGCUCCUAGUACGAGAGGACCGGAGUGGACGCAUCACUGGUGUUCGGGUUGUCAUGCCAAUGGCACUGCCCGGUAGCUAAAUGCGGAAGAGAUAAGUGCUGAAAGCAUCUAAGCACGAAACUUGCCCCGAGAUGAGUUCUCCCUGACUCCUUGA
RNAcentral lists this ribosomal RNA (2787 nucleotides) under Escherichia coli. Its description in RNAcentral is "bacterial LSU rRNA". It matches the Rfam family "Bacterial large subunit ribosomal RNA". The record is from RNAcentral. Lineage: Bacteria; Pseudomonadati; Pseudomonadota; Gammaproteobacteria; Enterobacterales; Enterobacteriaceae.